RNAcentral lists this transfer RNA (119 nucleotides) under Promethearchaeota archaeon. RNAcentral describes it as "Candidatus Lokiarchaeota archaeon (permafrost metagenome) tRNA-OTHER". It matches the Rfam family "tRNA". Rfam says of the family: Transfer RNA (tRNA) molecules are approximately 80 nucleotides in length. The record is from RNAcentral. Lineage: Archaea; Promethearchaeati; Promethearchaeota.
GCAGGGAUAGCCAAGCGGUCAACGGCGGUGGACACAAUCGAGAGCACAUAAUUUGUUCUUGAGCCACACUCAAGAUCCAUUGACAUAGGUCUACAGGGGUUCAAAUCCCCUUCCCUGCA